Molecule: microRNA precursor, 60 nt
Filed under: Notamacropus eugenii (tammar wallaby)
Lineage: Eukaryota; Metazoa; Chordata; Mammalia; Diprotodontia; Macropodidae
Description: miRNA (ENSMEUG00000017494.1)
Source: RNAcentral
UUUUUUUUUUUCUCCCUCCCCACUUCCAGGAUGAAGAAGGGAGGGAGGAAAAAAAAGUAG